This is a non-coding RNA of Macaca mulatta (Rhesus monkey), 1977 nucleotides long. The record is from RefSeq and is a predicted model, not a curated record. NCBI's taxonomy places the organism in Eukaryota, Metazoa, Chordata, Mammalia, Primates, Cercopithecidae.
UUUUUAAUAAAAUGUGAUAAGAUAGGUACCAAUGUUAGUUUUGUUUUAUAGAUGAGGGAAAUGGAGUACGGAGAGGUUAGGUAAUUUGACCAAGGUCACACAGCUAUGGAAUAGCAGAAAUGAGACCCCAGGCAGUCUGAUUCCAGACUGCCCCUCAUGACUUUUUUCUAUGUGAGUUGUGUUUAUAUUAUUUCCCCAUUUAAAUGCUCUGAGUCCCCCACCAACUUGAUUGUGGGAUCAGAGUCCAUUCCCCUGACUCAACCCAAGCAAGUCUCCCCAGUACUUUCUAGGAACUUCCAAAAGAGUACCUCUCUCAUGGAGCCACAGUGAAGUCCAUCAGCAGCCAUCCUCCACGUUCUUCUCUAUUCCAAUCACUCUCUGGUUUCCACUGGUUACCAAACGAGUUGAAGUUUUGCUAUCACCUUCCUAAUGAUGCUCUUCAUAUAUAAGCUAUUACCUCACAACAUCUGGGACACCAACAGGUGCUGGUUCUAUCAAGACUGGCAAUAUAAUUUGCAGGAUCCAGUGCAAAAUAAAAAUGUGGGGCCUCUUCUUUAAAAGCUAUUUAAAGUCUGCAGCUGCAAAGCAUUGAUCAAGUACAGAGUUCCAUGUGAAGUGCUUUUUCAGUUGCAUGCCUGGAGAAUUGGCUCUGGGUUCUCUGCAGAGAUGGGAAAUACCACAGCCUUUCUGAAUCUGUCACAGCUUGUGCCCCUUAGGCAUGAAGGCAGGAGCCUCAUGGCCACACAUACUUUCUUGUGAAAAUGGGUCCUGCAGCUUCCAGUCUUUAGUCCUCCAGCCAGAGACCAUCGAAUCUAGUACACAGGGAUGGAGGUGCUGAUGCCUUGACACUCCCUCUGCUAUCUUGUCUUUCCUCUCCUUCCAGCAGCAAAGCCAAGCCUUUGUGCUCAUCUGUGGUUGUGACCAGUUGGAGAGACAUUAGGAGAUGAGAUACUGUGUUCACUCCUCACAGCUGUACCAGGGACCUGAGAUAUUCCAUCACUAUUCUAUGACAAAAGGCAAAUAUGCAAAGGACACUCAGGUAUGAAAAUCACCCCUCCUCCGUGAACUGGUGGCCUGUGAAAGAGAAACCCAGAGAGGAAUUGGCAUACUUCCAUUUCUAUAUUUCCUUCGUUUGGCACCAAAGGGAGCUAUGGUGCAUUACUCACGAGUGACAGAACCAACGAGCUUCAUCUCCCAAGAGGCCGGUGCAUCUGUUUAAAGAGAGCAGGCGCUAUGCAGAGCCGCCCCCACCCCACCCUCCAUGGCGGAGUGCAGUGGGGGAAGAUGGGGAAAUUGAGGCACAGAGAGGCUAAAGAGAAGCGCCUGAAGCCACACAGCUUGCAAGCGGUGGAGCUGGGAUUUGAACUUGUCAAUCUGGCUGCAGAGCUGAGCUCUUGGAGACUAGGUUAUACUGCCUAGUAGCAUGUAAGCCUGGAGCUGCUGGCAGGCAUUUUGUAAGUCUGCAGAGUGAACCUCAAUGAGCAUGAGGCAGAGAGGAAGGCAGUACUGAGAGAUGCAAAAAAGUCUGCGUUCCAGCAAGGGAAUCUGAAGUCCUGGAUCAAACCUUACCUGGUGCCAAGAUUUACCAAUCAGACAUGCCAAUUGUAAGACCCAAAUUUACCCUUUUGGGGGGAUUGAGUUUGAAUGAGUAUUUUUGUUUGUUUGUUUUGUCAUCAGAAAGAUUCCUGAUUAAUACACAGUAUGACCUUGACCAAGAUGCUUCAUUUCUCUAGGACUCAAUUUUCUUAUCUGUAAAGGGUUCAUCAACAUUCGUUGGUUGAAUCUUACCUGAAACAUUUUUUUCAGUCUUCAUCAAUCUCAUCUAAGCCUUUGUUUCCAUAGAACAAAGCCAUUUAAGGAAGGAGGGGGAAGUGUCAUGGAGUCUUACUGUCCUGAGUGCAAAUACGGUCUCUGUAUUGUCCUUAUCUGUUCAUUUUUUGCCUCUCAGUACUAGAAUGAAAACUCUAGAAGCGGAAG